RNAcentral lists this ribosomal RNA (497 nucleotides) under uncultured bacterium. RNAcentral's name for it is "partial 16S ribosomal RNA". It matches the Rfam family "Bacterial small subunit ribosomal RNA", at positions 28 to 507 of the family's 1533-position model. The record is from RNAcentral.
GAUGAACGCUGGCGGCGUGCCUAAUACAUGCAAGUCGAGCGAACGGACGAGAAGCUUGCUUUUCUGAUGUUAGCGGCGGACGGGUGAGUAACACGUGGAUAACCUACCUAUAAGACUGGGAUAACUUCAGGAAACCGGAGCUAAUACCGGAUAAUAUUUUGAACCGCAUGGUUCAAAAGUGAAAGACGGUCUUGCUGUCACUUAUAGAUGGAUCCGCGCUGCAUUAGCUAGUUGGUAAGGUAACGGCUUACCAAGGCAACGAUGCAUAGCCGACCUGAGAGGGUGAUCGGCCACACUGGAACUGAGACACGGUCCAGACUCCUACGGGAGGCAGCAGUAGGGAAUCUUCCGCAAUGGGCGAAAGCCUGACGGAGCAACGCCGCGUGAGUGAUGAAGGUCUUCGGAUCGUAAAACUCUGUUAUUAGGGAAGAACAUAUGUGUAAGUAACUGAGCACAUCUUGACGGUACCUAAUCAGAAAGCCACGGCUAACUACGUG